Molecule: transfer RNA, 65 nt
Filed under: Nasimyia megacephala
Lineage: Eukaryota; Metazoa; Arthropoda; Insecta; Diptera; Stratiomyidae
Description: tRNA-His
Source: RNAcentral
GUUUAAAUAGUUUAAUUAAAAAUUUUGAUUUGUGGUGUCAAGGAUAUGAAACUUCAUUUUAGACU